UCUUUUCAGAAUACAGAGGUAUAUGUAGCUCUUAUUCUCUUAAUGCACCCAUCUAUUUUGAAAUUCGCACUAUAUUAGAUCUCUGGUUGUUAUUAGCUUCAGCAGUGUUGAUCAUGAGUAACAGUCUAAUUUCUUAAUGAAAUUCCUUAAGCCUUCUUUAACUUUUAACAUGUAUGGCAAAUAAGGAGUGUUUUGGAAAGCAGAUGAAGUGUGAAUUGUGGCUUUCAUACUAAAAUUCACCAGAGUUUUGACUUAAUAGCAAACACACGCAGACUGACAUUUUUUGUUGGCAUAAAUGGAAACAUUGCUUUUUUUAUUUUUUUCCUUUUAAAUUUGGAAAAUUAUGUAUUAUGACUAUUCUUGCUCUUGAGGGUUUUGGAAGUAGAAUAUUCAUUUAAUUUCUGGUGGUUCUCUGAUUAUGUCCCUAAGGGUUCCUUUUUAGACCAAAAGCAUUUCAAUUUUGUAUAAUUAUAUGAUUAAAUUGAAUUGAGUUUCCACUAAUAUAUUCCUUACUCAAAACAAGCAGAUUCGGGACCA
Molecule: unclassified non-coding RNA, 537 nt
Filed under: Hevea brasiliensis (rubber tree)
Lineage: Eukaryota; Viridiplantae; Streptophyta; Magnoliopsida; Malpighiales; Euphorbiaceae
Source: RNAcentral